Molecule: long non-coding RNA, 2054 nt
Filed under: Coturnix japonica (Japanese quail)
Lineage: Eukaryota; Metazoa; Chordata; Aves; Galliformes; Phasianidae
Description: lncRNA (ENSCJPG00005005936.1)
Source: RNAcentral
UGUGGGGUGGUUAUGGGGGGAUAUGGGGUCAUAUGGGAGGUUAUGGGGGAUAUGGGGUGGUUAUGGGGUCCCUAUGUGUCCCUAUGUGUCCCUAUGUGUCUCUAUGUGUCUCUAUGUGUCCCUAUGUGUCCCUAUGGGUCCCUAUGUGUCCCUAUGGGUCUCUAUGUGUCUCUAUGGGUCUCUAUGGGUCCCUAUGUGUCCCUAUGGGUCCCUAUGUGUCUCUAUGGGUCUCUAUGUGUCUCUAUGGGUCCCUAUGUGUCCCUAUGUGUCUCUAUGGGUCCCUAUGUGUCUCUAUGUGUCUCUAUGUGUCCCUAUGUGUCCCUAUGGGGCCGUAACCCCCGUUUCUCCCCGUUCCAGCCCCACUGAAUCCCGUCUCACGGUGUCCGACAACUCGCUGCUCUGGAGCGCCCCCGUGCGGUACCGGGUGGGAGCCGCGGUCACGUGGCUGGAGGACUCCACCCCAUAUCUCAGCUUCACCCCCGGCCAGACCCACAACUCAACACUGAGGCACCAUUACCAGGUUCAGAUUUCUUCUCCUCCGGCCUCCCCCCGGUGCCCGUACUCGCCAACUCAUACCUCAGCUCCUUCCUGCUGCUGCCCCACAAGCUGCCCCCACGGCAUGGAAUGGAGCCCCAGCGUCACCAUGGACAAUGGAGCCGAGUGCCAAGAGCUGCGGGGACAGAAGGAUGUGGGGCCGCUAUGGGGCCUGGAGAAGGGCUGCAUCCCCCCCCACCCCCCCCUGUUGUUCCGCUGCCCCAUGGGAUCCCACUUGGGGGGCAGAGUGACGCUGAGCGCCAACAUCACACCCCCAACACAAGGACAGCCCCCGUUCCGAUCCCAUUUAUGCUCCCGUUUGUGGUUCCGGUUCGGUUCGGGGCUGUUCCAGCAUCACCCACAAGGGGGCGACAACGGGAUGCAGGGCACGACGGAGGUGGAGCUGCUGCCCCCCCCCCCCCCCAUUGCUCUUAAUGUACGUGGGGGGGCUGCGGCGGGGCGGGUGAUGCUGCUGCCCUAUGGGCGUCGCUGGGCGUGGCGCGAAGGUAAAUUUGCAUAAUUUGCAUAUUAAUGAGCUAAGGGGAUGGGGUGGGGGGUCACUAAUUAGGGUAAGGUUAAUUAGUCUGGAGGGGUAAAUUAAUUAAGGGGGUUAAUUAGAGCUUGUUAAUGGGCCGGGGGGGGGUGAUGCUGCUGCUCCUAUUGGGCGUCCUCCUGUCCAAGGUAAUUUGCAUAAUUGCAUAUUAAUGAGCUAAGGGGAUGGGGAUGGGGUUAAUUAACCAGGGGGGUUAUUAAAUGGGGAGUAAUUAAUUAAGGGUUUAAUUAGAGGAGGUCAGUUAAUUGGGAGGAUGGGCGAAGGGGCUGGGAUAGGGGGAUCACUCUAAUUAUCAGGGGAUAAUUAGGCAUAUUAAUUUGCUUAAUUAGCAUACUAAUGAGCUUACACAGGGGAUGGGGGGGCUUAAUUAAUAGGGGGGUUAAUAGUGGGGUGUCGCUUCGACUGGUAAUGUGUGAAUGUAAGGGAGUUAGAUUAGGAGCUUGUUAAUGGGCGGGGUGGGGUGAUGCUGCUGCUCCUAUUGGGCGUCCUCCUGUCCAAGGUAAUUUGCAUAAUUUGCAUAUUAAUGAGCUAAGGGGAUGGGGGAGGGGGUUAAUUAACAGGGGGGUGAUGUGGGUGCUGUGGGCGGAGCCGCGGUAAAUUAAUUAAGGGUGCGUAAUUACAGGAAGCUCCUCGUCAAUGGGGGGGACUGGUGAAAGGUGGGGCUAAUAGCGGGUCAUUAAUUGGGGGGAUAAUUAGCAUGUUAAUUAGCUUAAUUAGCAUAUUAAUGAGUUAAGGGGAUGGGGGAGGAGUGUCACUUUAAGGGGGGUUAAUUAAUGGGGGGGUAAUUAAUUAAGGGGGUUAAUUAGGAGCUCGUUAAUGGGGAGGAUGGUGAAGGGAGGCUGAUAGGGGGUCAUUAAUUAGGGGGAAUAAUUAGCAUGUUAAUUAGGUUAAUUUGCAUAUUAAUGAGCUAAGGGUAUGGGGAGAGUGUUAAUUAACGGGGGGGUAAUUAGUGGGGGGGUAAUUAAUU